This 508-nucleotide ribosomal RNA is filed under the name uncultured Actinomycetes bacterium. RNAcentral's name for it is "bacterial SSU rRNA". It matches the Rfam family "Bacterial small subunit ribosomal RNA", at positions 117 to 641 of the family's 1533-position model. The record is from RNAcentral. Lineage: Bacteria; Bacillati; Actinomycetota; Actinomycetes.
GUGGGUGAUCUGCCUUGCACUUCGGGAUAAGCUUGGGAAACUGGGUCUAAUACCGGAUAGGACAGCUGUUUAGUGUCAGUUGUGGAAAGUUUUUUCGGUGCAAGAUGAGCUCGCGGCCUAUCAGCUUGUUGGUGGGGUAAUGGCCUACCAAGGGGGUCGACGGGUAGCCGGCCUGAAGGGUGUACGGCCACAUUGGGACUGAGAUACGGCCCAGACUCCUACGGGAGGCAGCAGUGGGGAAUAUUGCACAAUGGGCGGAAGCCUGAUGCAGCGACGCCGCGUGGGGGAUGAAGGCCUUCGGGUUGUAAACUCCUUUCGACAGGGACGAAGCGCAAGUGACGGUACCUGUAUAAGAAGCACCGGCUUAUUACGUGCCAGCAGCCGCGGUAAUACGUGGGGUGCGAGCGUUGUCCGGAAUUACUGGGCGUAAAGAGCUCGUAGGUGGUUUGUCGCGUCGUCUGUGAAAUUCCGGGGCUUAACUCCGGGCGUGCAGGCGAUACGGGCUGAC